This 475-nucleotide ribosomal RNA is filed under the name uncultured organism. RNAcentral's name for it is "partial 16S ribosomal RNA". It matches the Rfam family "Bacterial small subunit ribosomal RNA", at positions 331 to 797 of the family's 1533-position model. The record is from RNAcentral.
GUACACUCCUGCGGGAGGCAGCAGUGGGGAAUUUUGGACAAUGGGCGAAAGCCUGAUCCAGCAAUGCCGCGUGAGUGAAGAAGGCCUUCGGGUUGUAAAGCUCUUUUGUCAGGGAAGAAACGGUGAGAGCUAAUAUCUUUUGCUAAUGACGGUACCUGAAGAAUAAGCACCGGCUAACUACGUGCCAGCAGCCGCGGUAAUACGUAGGGUGCAAGCGUUAAUCGGAAUUACUGGGCGUAAAGCGUGCGCAGGCGGUUUUGUAAGUCUGAUGUGAAAUCCCCGGGCUCAACCUGGGAAUUGCAUUGGAGACUGCAAGGCUAGAAUCUGGCAGAGGGGGGUAGAAUUCCACGUGUAGCAGUGAAAUGCGUAGAUAUGUGGAGGAACACCGAUGGCGAAGGCAGCCCCCUGGGUCAAGAUUGACGCUCAUGCACGAAAGCGUGGGGAGCAAACAGGAUUAGAAACCCUGGUAGUCCCA